UGGGGAAUAUUGCGCAAUGGGCGAAAGCCUGACGCAGCGACGCCGCGUGGGUGAUGAAGGCCUUCGGGUCGUAAAGCCCUGUCGGGAGGGACGAAACCUCGGUGACCUAAUACGUCACCGACCUGACGGUACCUCUUAAGGAAGCACCGGCUAACUCCGUGCCAGCAGCCGCGGUAAUACGUAGGGGGCAAGCGUUGUCCGGAUUUACUGGGUGUAAAGGGCGCGCAGGCGGGAUAAAAAGUCGGUGGUGAAAUCCUACAGCUUAACUGUAGAACUGUCUUUGNUACUUUUAUUCUUGAGUUCGGGAGAGAGAGACGGAAUUCCAGGUGUAGUGGUGAAAUACGUAGAUAUCUGGAAGAACACCAGUUGCGAAGGCGGUCUCUUGGUCCGACACUGACGCUGAGGCGCGAAAGCGUGGGGAGCAAACA
Molecule: ribosomal RNA, 428 nt
Filed under: uncultured bacterium
Lineage: Bacteria
Description: bacterial SSU rRNA
Rfam family: Bacterial small subunit ribosomal RNA
Source: RNAcentral